RNAcentral lists this long non-coding RNA (1080 nucleotides) under Phasianus colchicus (ring-necked pheasant). Its description in RNAcentral is "lncRNA (ENSPCLG00000002012.1)". Lineage: Eukaryota; Metazoa; Chordata; Aves; Galliformes; Phasianidae. The record is from RNAcentral.
CCUCCCCACCGUGCGGCCGGCACCUGUGACGUCACAGCCAGCACCAGCUGACGGCGGGAGGAGGAAGAGGCGGCGGGGCGGGCCACGCUUUUUUAAAGAAGGAGGCGGGGCCGCCUCAAUGGGGCGUUGUAAGAAACCUGGGGCUCGGGAUAAAUCCAAAGUGGUUGCCUUCAGGCUGCUUGAUUUUUAACGUAGUCGAGAUGGGCUGUCCUUCAGCCUUCAGGAAGCAAAGACUGCUUGCCACCUGCGCUGGUUAUCAGCAGUGCCUGUGUGUGAUCACCUGGCGCUGUGCAUUGACAAAGUUCUCUGCCAUUAAGCAGGGGGUGUUUUUGUGAGAGGACGUUUCCAUGUGGAAGCGGACGCUCUGUAACUCAGGGAUAACGAGCCAAUGUGUGGUAGUUCACAAAGGUGUUUUCUCACCUCAUCCUGCAAAGAGCCUCACAUUUCCAUUUUAAUUGGGGAACUUGUAUUCAUCACUGAUGAUCCAGCUCAAUAUCUGCCAAAAUCAAAUUUUCAGCAAAUUGCAAAUCAGUCCAAGACACCUAGAGGUAUAAAAAAUACCUGGAAAGACCUAAGCAAAGCAACACAGUGUGCAGAUAACUAAAAUUGACCAAUGGUGCAGUGAUGUAAGAGGUGUCCCCUACAACACUUAUGAUAUUUUUCCUUCUCGUCCUGCUUGAAUGAUGUUAUUGCCUUACAAUUUUUUUUCUAAAUCUAAUUUUUUGAAUUAAAGAAGAAGAAUGGCAAUCUGAGUAUCACAAAAUGAAACAUACCUACUGUGUUAUAUAUGAAAAUUUUUAUUUUGUAGUUUGCAGCUACAGUAGAAAAUGUUCUGGUUUUGUUUUUGUUUUUGUUUUUGUUUUUUUUGUUGUUGUUAAUUCAUUUCUGCAUUCCUGAAAAUACUACGAUCUGACUUUCACUGAUCUUAUGCAAACAUACUUGUUUUGUCAGGAGUUAAAAGCUGUCCAUAUGCCUAUUGCCUUCUAUCUGAAAUCUGGCUGAGCAGUGAACUGAGCAAGAAAAAACAAUAUAUUGAAAUAUCUGUUUCACAGCCAUGAACAUCUGUCUCCUCUUCAAAAG